This 374-nucleotide unclassified non-coding RNA is filed under the name uncultured Pseudomonadota bacterium. RNAcentral describes it as "uncultured proteobacterium contains 16S-23S intergenic spacer region". The record is from RNAcentral. Lineage: Bacteria; Pseudomonadati; Pseudomonadota.
UCCGGCUUAUCACCGGCAGUUUCUUUAGAGUGCUCAACUAAAUGGUAGCAACUAAAGACGAGGGUUGCGCUCGUUGCGGGACUUAACCCAACAUCUCACGACACGAGCUGACGACAGCCAUGCAGCACCUGUCAAGCGGCCCGAAGGCUGCGAUAUCUCUACCGCAUUCCACUUGAUGUCAAACCCAGGUAAGGUUUUUCGCGUUGCAUCGAAUUAAACCACAUGCUCCACCGCUUGUGCGGGCCCCCGUCAAUUUCUUUGAGUUUUAACCUUGCGGCCGUACUCCCCAGGCGGGAUACUUAACGCGUUAGCUUCGGCACUGAAGGGGUCAAUACCUCCAACACCAAGUAUCCAUCGUUUACGGCGUGGACUAC